AUGAAAAAUACUUUUACUGAGAGUUCACUUAAAUCCUGCAUGGCUACUAGCCAUAGGAACUCUUUUGAUUUUUCUAUAGAUCUUCCUUUGGCUCCCCUGACUCCUGCCCUUACUCUCUUCCUAUGGCUUUGUCUAUACUUAAGAAAAAUGGAUUUAUAUGUUUUGCAUAGUCGAUACUUAAGAAAACAAAAGGUCAAAUCUUCAAACUUUAAUCAGUUCAAGUACAUAAGGAACGUAGGACGACCAUGCAAAAACAUCAAUGUAGGAAAAAAGAGUAGGAUAUUGAGAUGUUGCUGCUACUUCUUUAUGCUCAUGCCUUGCCGCUGCUCCAUUCAAUCUCAUUCUAUUUAUAUGAAAAUAAUUGAUGCUCUAUAG
This 375-nucleotide ribosomal RNA is filed under the name Triticum aestivum (bread wheat). Its description in RNAcentral is "partial small subunit ribosomal RNA". Lineage: Eukaryota; Viridiplantae; Streptophyta; Magnoliopsida; Poales; Poaceae. The record is from RNAcentral.